GAGUUGUGGAAGGUUUUCGAGAGCUAAAGAAUCAAAUUCUGCGAAACUGCAGAUUUUCAGCUCUCGGGGACCGGUCCCUGGUGGGAGAGACCGGUCCCCGAACGCGUGCAGAGUGAGACAGCCGAAAAAUCGGCUAAGUCCUGGAAGGAAAGCUCUCGGGAACCGGUCUCUGCCUGAGAGACCGGUCCCCCAGAGACCGGUCCCAUAAGGAGAGACCGGUUGCACUGCGCGCAGCAGCUUUGGCUGCGCAGGGUGGACGUUCGGGAACCGGUCCCUGCUCGGGGAGACCGGUCUCUGCCUGCGCGAUCAGCCCAGUUCGGGCAGCGUAUUAAAGUAAAAGUUGAGGGGUUUAACUGCAAUUUUGCAACCCAAUAGACUAUGUAUUAGGGUAAAUGAGGGAUUUCUCUCAUUUCUACCCUCUCACACUCUCUCCUCUCUUUCUCUCUCUAGAAGACAAAGAAGAAGAAGAAGAAGGAAAGAAAAGGAAAAGAAGAGGAAGAAAGUGAAGAAGAAGAAGAAGAAGUGAAGAAACUCCUUCCCCUUCAUCUCUAGCUUGGAAAAGAAGGGCUUACAAGGUAAGCUUUGAACCCUAAUCAUGGUAGAACCUAAUCUAGGGUUUGGAUUAAGCUUAAAAUGGGUUUUAUGGAACCAUUUGAGUAUUUGGAGCUUUUCUUUUGCUUCUCUUGAGAUCAAGACCAUAGAAAU
Molecule: long non-coding RNA, 705 nt
Filed under: Ananas comosus (pineapple)
Lineage: Eukaryota; Viridiplantae; Streptophyta; Magnoliopsida; Poales; Bromeliaceae
Description: long non-coding RNA (ACOM_LNC036760)
Source: RNAcentral